UUACUUACCUGGAUGGAGCCAAUGGCCGAUCAAGAAUAGCCAUGGCUUAGGCGCGUGACUUCCAUUGCACGUGGGGAGGGUGCGCGCUUAAGGUCUGUCUGAAAUGGGCAGAGCCUACAUCAUCAUUUGUGGCAGUGGGGGCUUGCGUGCGCGCAGCCCCUUC
Non-coding RNA from Cucumis sativus (cucumber), 163 nucleotides. The record is from Rfam. NCBI's taxonomy places the organism in Eukaryota, Viridiplantae, Streptophyta, Magnoliopsida, Cucurbitales, Cucurbitaceae.